RNAcentral lists this ribosomal RNA (1176 nucleotides) under Borrelia miyamotoi. Its description in RNAcentral is "bacterial SSU rRNA". It matches the Rfam family "Bacterial small subunit ribosomal RNA", at positions 159 to 1325 of the family's 1533-position model. The record is from RNAcentral. Lineage: Bacteria; Pseudomonadati; Spirochaetota; Spirochaetia; Spirochaetales; Borreliaceae.
GUAGCUAAUACCGAAUAAGGUCAAUUGAGGUGUUAAUUGAUGAAAGGAAGCCUUUAAAGCUUCGCUUGUAGAUGAGUCUGCGUCUUAUUAGCUAGUUGGUGGGAUAAGAGCCUACCAAGGCUAUGAUAAGUAACCGGCCUGAGAGGGUGAUCGGUCACACUGGAACUGAGAUACGGUCCAGACUCCUACGGGAGGCAGCAGCUAAGAAUCUUCCGCAAUGGGCGAAAGCCUGACGGAGCGACACUGCGUGAACGAAGAAGGUCGAAAGAUUGUAAAGUUCUUUUAUAAGUGAGGAAUAAGCUUUGUAGGAAAUGACAAAGUGAUGACGUUAAUUUAUGAAUAAGCCCCGGCUAAUUACGUGCCAGCAGCCGCGGUAAUACGUAAGGGGCGAGCGUUGUUCGGGAUCAUUGGGCGUAAAGGGUGAGUAGGCGGAUAUGCAAGUCUAUGUGUAAAAUACCACAGCUCAACUGUGGAACUAUGCUGGAAACUGCAUGACUAGAGUCUGAUAGGGGAAGUUAGAAUUCCUGGUGUAAGGGUGGAAUCUGUUGAUAUCAGGAAGAAUACCAGAGGCGAAGGCGAACUUCUAGGUCAAGACUGACGCUGAGUCACGAAAGCGUAGGGAGCAAACAGGAUUAGAUACCCUGGUAGUCUACGCUGUAAACGAUGCACACUUGGUGUUAAUCGAAAGGUUAGUACCGAAGCUAACGUGUUAAGUGUGCCGCCUGGGGAGUAUGUUCGCAAGAAUGAAACUCAAAGGAAUUGACGGGGGCCCGCACAAGCGGUGGAGCAUGUGGUUUAAUUCGAUGAUACGCGAGGAACCUUACCAGGGCUUGACAUAUACAGGAUAUAGUUAGAGAUGACUAUUCCCCGUUUGGGGUCUGUAUACAGGUGCUGCAUGGUUGUCGUCAGCUCGUGCCGUGAGGUGUUGGGUUAAGUCCCGCAACGAGCGCAACCCUUAUUGUCUGUUACCAGCAUGUAAAGAUGGGGACUCAGACGAGACUGCCGGUGAUAAGCCGGAGGAAGGUGAGGAUGACGUCAAAUCAUCAUGGCCCUUAUGUCCUGGGCUACACACGUGCUACAAUGGCCUGUACAAAGCGAUGCGAAACAGUGAUGUGAAGCAAAACGCAGAAAGCAGGUCUCAGUCCAGAUUGAAGUCUGAAACUCGGCUUCAUGAAG